This 469-nucleotide ribosomal RNA is filed under the name uncultured bacterium. RNAcentral describes it as "partial 16S ribosomal RNA". It matches the Rfam family "Bacterial small subunit ribosomal RNA", at positions 28 to 507 of the family's 1533-position model. The record is from RNAcentral.
GACGAACGCUGGCGGCGUGCUUAACACAUGCAAGUCGAACGGUGAAGCGAGUGCCUUCCCUCGUGGAUCAGUGCCGAACGGGUGAGUAACACGUGAGUAACCUGCCCAUCACUCUGGGAUAAGCACUGGGAACGGUGUCUAAUACUGGAUACGACCAACCCUUGCAUGGGGUGUUGUUGUAAAGAUUUAUCGGUGAUGGAUGGACUCGCGGCCUAUCAGCUUGUUAGCGGGGUAAUGGCCCACCAAGGCGCCGACGGGUAGCCGGCCUGAGAGGGUGACCGGCCACAAUGGGACUGAGAGAGGGCCCAGAAUGCUACGGGAGGCAGCAGUGGGGAAUAUUGCACAAUGGGCGAAAGCCUGAUGCAGCGACGCCGCGUGAGGGAUGACGGCCUUCGGGUUGUAAACCUCUUUCAGCAGGGAAGAAGCGAAAGUGACGGUACCUGCAGAAGAAGCACCGGCUAACUACGUG